Non-coding RNA from Chlorocebus sabaeus (green monkey), 7048 nucleotides. The record is from RefSeq and is a predicted model, not a curated record. NCBI's taxonomy places the organism in Eukaryota, Metazoa, Chordata, Mammalia, Primates, Cercopithecidae.
UCUUUCUUGCUAGUAGACUUUCAUGGUCUCUCUCUCUCUCUCUCUCUCUCUCUCUCUCUCUCUGUCUCUCCCCCCCACCUUUUGCUGGCAGAAGAAAUCUUAAAAGUUUAAGAAGAAAAUAUGAUAAGUAACUAAGAGAAAUCUCUGGUUAAUACUCAACAUAAGUCCCUCAGUCCAACAAUAUUCCAUGCAUGAAAUCCUGCCAAUAACCAGGUUAAAGAGAGAUCAUGAAUCAGAGGACCCAGUUCAGCUGUGAUCAGAGUCCUGGCCCAUUGCAACUUUGAGAUAAGUGCAUGUUGUUUAGGAUGCAAAACUUGUGGUUAUUUGUUUCACAAAAAUAAGUAACUUAUAAAAAUGCUCUAUACUCUUGAUCCUCAUUAUCAGUGAAACAUCUCAUUAUUGAUGCAGGGACAUUGAAUUCCUUAAAAAUUGAGGCAAACUAUCUUGAAAACAAAGCCCAAAGAGUUGUUGUAUUUUCAUAUACCCUCCUUCACCUGCUAGAAAUCAAGUUAAAGAAGUCACAAUCAUUAUUACUGUUGUAGAAAAGGUACUCCUUUUCCUUUAUUCAGGCUCUUACUUGUGCUUAGAAUAAAUGUUUGUGGCUUCUAUGGUUAACUAGCUGAAACAUAAAGGCUUUGGUUAUUUUAUGUUUCCUUCGAAGGCCAUUUGUAGUAUUGAUUUAACACACAAGCUCUUUGGACGUUGUUUUUGCCUCAAUCACUCAAGUAGGUGGUUCUGUACAAUGAAGAACACGGCUAAAGGAAAAACAUAGAAAGACAUCUACUCUACAGGUAGGCCCUGCAGUGGCUCUGGAAACAUUGUGAAGUAACUCUAUGCACAAUACUAUUGAUACCUAUUUGGAAUUUUCCUAUAAUGGGACAAAUUUGAUAUACAAUCUAUUUACAUUGUAGAAUCUUUCCUAAUGCACCUGUGUCUCACUGACGGGCUUUUCUUUCCAUACCUGUUGAAUUUGUAUGUUUUAUCUAAUGGAAGUUGAUUUUGAACAACGAUGGAGGAAUUUGCAUACAAGGCAAUACAGCCUCCUAUAUGGUAUUAUUGUUGUUAGGGAAAUUAAUAAUAGCUUCCACAGCAAACAAAGCUAUUCUUAUUAUCUGAACACAGCAAAAGUCUAUUUAUUGCUAUGUCAAAUCUAAUGCAGAUGUUCCUUGGUGGUGGGAGAACUGCCUAUGGUUUUUUAGAGAUCCAUACUACACAUCUUGUAGUUCUGCUAUUUUCCAGAGCUGCAGAGAUGUUACUUGAUCCUUUGCUUUCAGCUGCUAGUCGGGAGAAAGGUAGAAGAUCAUGUGAGAAAGAAUUUUCUGGGCGAGUUCCAGAAAUGGUUUACAUAGUCCACUAGACAAAAGCAAGUCCAACAGCCACAUCUAACUACAAAGGAGGCUGGGAAAUGUAGUCUACUUUUGUGCCCAGGAAGAAAAUAAGAACUGAUAAAUAUAGACUGUCAUGGGGGUAGAUUAAAAUAAUGCAAUAUUAAUGCAAAUAGAUUUAAGACUGCAGAAAUAUGGCACACGAUUUAUGCAACUUAAUUCCAACAUAUAUCAGUAUUUAUAGUAGAAAACUUAUUUUAAAGAAUUCUAUACUAUAUAAAUAAUAAAAUUAGUGUAACAGUACAACAUUAGUGUGUUCUAAUUGUGGUUUUAUUGUAAUGUUACCUUUUGAUAAUAAUCAUCUAACCUAUUUCCCGGUUAGCUCUGUCAAGUUAUUUCCCUUUUCCCCAUUUUCUAUUCCUUUCUCCUUAGUAGGUUAUAUUCCCUUCUCAUCUUCUUCAGGGAAACUCGCAUUUUGUACUAUACCAUAUUGGAUGAAAUAAUUUAUUCUGCAUAAAACAUGUUUGGAUACACUUUCUAGACUAGGUUAGGUUUUCAAAGAAUUUUUAUUGGAAUUAAAUGCUUUCUGCAAUCCUGUACCAUACUAGAAAUAGAAGUUACAUAUGCUGCCUCUUGGGAAGCAGAGCAGGUAAGUGGUAUCCUGGAGUCCAAUAGUUGCAAGAAUGAAGUAAAUGACCAAGAGAUGAAGGAAAAUGGGGGAAAAAUCUAGCCCUUGCUACCAACUUCAACAACUACUAUUUAGUGACUUUUCAUGUUGUCUCAGUGGCCAGAGAGCAUCUGUCCACUGAGCAUCUGAAGGCAUGAAUCUUUUACUAUCCAAGUAAAGGUCACAUAUUGUUAUGCUGUAGCCUAAGCUGAAAGAUGUCAUGGUCAUGACCUUGACAAAUUUCCUAGGCCAUUGGUGUCAGGAUGCACCCUUGAUCUGCAACGUUUUAUAUUGUUCUCUGGGUUUGUUUCCUGAGAAGGAGGUUAUGCUGGACCUGCAGUUCAGAGUGACUUAAGUAACCCUGACACUGUAAUUGGCAAUGUCUGCUCGAAAAGCUGUUAUUAAAAAUAAGUGUUUGAGGCAAAAUUGUUGUUCUUAUUCUGUUCCUUUAUCUCAUAUGGAACGUGAAACUUUAUUUCCAUAUUUGUCUUCUCUUAGCUAGUUUAUAUGCCUCUGAAAUAUUAGGUAUUUUGUAAAAUAAACUUGAAUGUGAAAUUACAUAGAAGUAUCAUUGUAUUGAAUUGGUUAUACCUAAAAGAACAGAAAUCACUUUGUAAUUUGGGCAAACUUUUGUUUUUCCAAUUUGUUACUUUCAUUCUUCCUUUGUUUAUGGUGAUUUUUGUGUUGUGUAUGUGUUUUGUCAAAUAGGGAUCCGUUUAAAAUGAUUACCAAAAUGCAUGUGGGUACUUUUUACAUAAAAAAGCCUGUUGUGAAGGAAUCAAAAGUCAAUAGAUUUAUUGAAAACCUACUCUGUGCAAGGCACUGCAUCAGAAAUAAUAAAUGAAGGGUAAUAGUUAACAUAAAAUGAGUAAUCACUUGAGUUUCUUAAUGUAACAUAUUUUAAUAUAUCUUUCUGUACUUGGUGUAGUCUUAAAUGUUUAAUUACGAGUCAAGAAAAGGCUUUGAAAGAAUUUUAUAGUAUUUUUAAUUGUAAAAUAAGGAUCCCACAUCCCAGAAAUAUUAUUGUCAUUAGUUUGACCCUAAAUCAUAAAAUCAUAGAAUGCUGGGAAAGGAAGAUGUGUUUAACAUUACAUAGUAUAAAUGUUGUCUAGUGCAAUAAUUUCCUGUGUUAAAAUACAUCCAGUGAUUAAGAACCCUUUGCUUUUUCAAGUGGUACAUCUUCUCCCCUCUUUCUCUUCCUCUCUCCCUUUCCUUCCUCCCACUUUUCUUGCUUUCUUUGAUUUUUUUUUUCUAUUGAUAACUAUCCUAGUAGAAUUGUGCUUGAUAUAGUUUGGAUGUUGUCCCUGUCCAAACCUCAUAUUCAAAUGUCAUCCCUAAUAUUGGAGGCUUGACCUGGUGGGAGGUGAUUGAACUGGCUUCGUGCCAUCCUCUGGGUACUGUCCUCACAAUAGUGAGUGAGUUCCUGCAAGAUUCAGUUGUUUAAAAGUGUGUGGCACCUCCUGCUUCUCUGUCUUGCUUCUGCUCUAGCAAUAUUACAUGCCUACUCUCCCUUCAUCUUUCACCAUGAUUAUAAGCUUCUUGAGGCUUCCCCAGAAAUGAAUCAGAUGCCAGGGUCAUACUUCCUAUACAGCCUGCAGAACUGUGAGCCAAUUAAGCCCAUUUUAUUUAUAAAUUACUCAGUCUCAGGCAUUUCUUUAUAGUAAUGCAAGAAUGGAGCAAUAGAGUUCUUUUUUGUGUGCCUCCUGAAAUCUGCCUGCCUUUAAAUUUUGCUCUUUGUUUCUUUUUGUCUUAAUUAUACUUCAAUAUGUAUAUGAUGAACUAAAUGAAUGUUAUUGAGAAUAACUAUCUGGACAUCCACAUGCAAUAUACAUUCACAAUACAUGUGUAUGUUUGUGUGAAGAGGGCAGGAAAAUAUUACCAAGUUUCUGACUCCUUUAGGCUCCUGCAUCUUGUAUAAAUAUGAGCCCACUGACUUGCCAUUUUUGUAAGACCAUGCUGUUUUUAAUAGGACCUCUUCCACUGACAAGUCUUCAUGGUGCCCCUUGUCUGACUAACUUCUAUUUGUCCUACUGUUCCUGGCUACCUGUGAGCACCUUUAGAAAGUUUCCUCUGAGCUUAACCUCUCCCUGGACCCAAUCUAGAUUGGGUGCUUCUGCCUUCUGGUAUCCCAUGCUUAUCCUUAUCAGGGGACAUGUCACACUACUUUGGAAUUGCUUGUUGACAUGCACGUAGGCUUCUCAUUAGGCUAUCAGCAUCCUGAGGGCAGGACUUUCCCAUCUCUGUUGCCCUGGGAUCUUGUACUGUGCAAAGUAGACUCGAAUUUGUUGAAAGUACAAGAAAGGAAAGAAAGUAUAAACAGACUUUUUAAUUCUUAGUCUCAGUUACAAGACCCUGGAAAAGUUGCCCCGUGAUUCAUCCUAUGGUAGUCUCCCUUUUCGGCCUUCCAGGACUCGGUCUUUUUCUACCUCUUCUUCUCUGCCCUUUCUUAAUGGAAACCAAUCUCACUUCUGGCAUCUUCUAUUCUGCCUCUUUGUACAUUAUCUCCAUGAGACAAUAUGGUGGGGUUGGGGACCCUAUGACCUCCCCCCACAUAUGCAUAUUUUAGUCUCUAUAAUAUUUAUUAAAAAUUGUAUCUUUCUAUACCAUCUCAAUAUAAAGUAUUCUGGAUACCAAAUGACUCACAGUUUAUGUGUUAUAAGGCAGGAUUUGGCAUAUUUGUGUGGCUUGUAUGGUUUUUAUUUUCUUUAUCUGUGUUUUCUAAAUUGAUUACAAUAAAAAUGUAAUAUCUCUGUAUAGAAAAUAAUAGUUAAAUUAUUUGAAACAUGAGUUAUUAGAUUUAGCAAUGAGAAGGUCUCCAAUGUCCCUCUGAUAAAAUAUUGGGGGAAUCAUGAAGGAAAAAAUAAGAUUGCAAGGAGUUAAGAUUUCUAAGCUUACUAUAUAACAAUUUGGAACUUUUAAAACCUCUUACCCUACUGAGAUGAACUUCAAUUUAAAUUUUAAAAACUACCAUAUGUUGAUAAUUUCAGGGUAAUUCUAAUGAGUUUAGUUUAAUUGCUCGGGGAUGGGUUAUAGCUUUUAUUUCUUCUUUCUCCAUGGCAAUGGAGAAACUUAAUGUCAGUAUCCAUCAUUCCAGGUACAGUCUCGUUAGUCACUGAAGUCAUGAGGCUGACAUUUGUGGAUUCUGGAGGGGAUAGCCGUGUUAAAACACUCUGCAUUUCAAGUUUCACCUGGAUCAUUUUGGUUUAGACUCUCCCAUGGGAUUCAAAUCUUAGAGUCUUUUCAAAGCACUGUUUGAGAAUGAGGAGUGUGAAAUCUCUCACCAUCCACCAGCAAACACAACAGACAGCUACCAAUGAGUUCAAGUGACUUCUUAAAGACUGAAACCAACAUUAGCUUUCUAUUCUCUUUCUGUCCAAUUUUCUGGGAUUCGGUAGUUCAAAGCAACCAUACUUUACCUCAAGAAGCAGAGGAGGAUCGAAUUCUUGCUGAUCAGAUUCUCUGAAGCCUCAAAGCUGAAAUUAACAGCCUCCUUUGGAUUUUCAUACCUCUACUCAAGGGGAAUUAAGGAGUCAAUUGAUUAAAUCCCCAAAUUAAAGUUAUUUGAUGUCUGUUCCGUGUGCUGGCAACACCCCCUGAAAGCAGAAAGCGUUUAUUUUUUUUUCUGGCCUUAGAGAAUUUCCCUGGCUGCAAGGAUCCUCUUUGCUUUGGCUGAAGUGCAGGAGACUUACCCAUUGAAGCAGCCCUCAGUCAAUUACUGACGGAAGUUGGUGCAUCACUAUCCCAGUUUUCUCACAACUGUGACAAGAUAACUCAGACAUUGACAUAAUUUAUAUUUACUCAUAAAGCUUCCUCAGUUGAAUUAUGUCCUUAUUGCCCUCAGUGGUAACUUGCUUGGUAAAGCACACUUUAUUGAUCUUUUUCCUCUCCUGUCUUGCUUCUCAUUUACCAAUCAGGGUUUCCUUUAUUCCCAAAUAGAUUACUUACACUUGGAUCAUGUCAGGGUCAGCUUCUGGAUGAAUCGAAACUACAACAUUAUCUAAUAUACUUAAGGGACAUGCUUUUGGCUCUCAUAUAUUGCAGGACUAUUAACAUUCUUAAUCACCACCCACUAAAUGCCUAUAGUAGUCCCUGGGCAUUGUGACAACCAAAGUACCUGCUCACACCUCAAAAGCUCCCCCAACCCCCAGGGAGGCAGCAAUAACUAGAGUAGAGCAAUACUACUUAGCAAUACUACUUAGCUCUGAUUGUCUUAGUCUGUGUUGUGCUGGUAAAACAGAAUAACACAGACUGGGUAAAUUAUCAUGAAAAAACACUUUUGAUUUGUGGUUCCAAGAGGCUGGGAAGUCCAAAAUCAAGGGGCUACAUUUGGUGAGGUCCUUCUUGAGUGGCACCAUAUGGCAGAAAGCACCACAUGAAUGAGAGGGAAAGAGAGGGCCUAAUUCAUCAUUUUUCAGGAGCCGACUUCCGAGAUAACUUAACCAUUCCCUCAAUAAUGGCGUUAACCCAUUCAUGAGGGUUCUGCCCUCAUGACCUAAUCACCACUUAAAGACCCCACCUCUCUACUUCGUUGCAUAUGCAAUUUAGUUUUCAUCACAGGAAUUUGGGGAAUAUAUUCAAACAAUUGCACUGAUCUACCAGACAAACCUUGUAAUUCUAGUUUAAAAUAUAUACUUGAAUAAUUGUCUUAAGCUUAUAAUUUUAAGUUAAAAUAAUUCUUCAAAGUUUUGCAAAUAAUAUUAGAAUAUGUAAAAUCAGUUGAGGUUUACUGUAUUUAUUUCUCUAUUAGGUUUAUAGGAAUCAGUUAAGUUCUUGGGGCGUUUUGUUUGAUAUUCAGAUAGUUGAAUUGCAUAUAAAAGAAAAUCAAAUAUAUUAAGUGUAUAAAUGCUGUUUAAAAUAUUUAACGACAUUUAAUUAAGUAAGCCAUAAUAUCUCUCUUAAAAGUCAUACUUAAUUUACUGAAUGUAUACAUAGAAUCACAUGUUUGUAAAUUAAAUCUAAAUGCUUUAUAAAAACUAAGCCUUUGAAUUUAUAGCUUUAAUACAUUGAAUAUUGUAGGCCGGGUGCGGUGGCUCACGCCUGUAAUCCCAGCACUUUG